Molecule: small nucleolar RNA, 71 nt
Organism: Camelus dromedarius (Arabian camel)
Lineage: Eukaryota; Metazoa; Chordata; Mammalia; Artiodactyla; Camelidae
Gene: U3
Rfam family: Small nucleolar RNA U3
About the family: Small nucleolar RNAs (snoRNAs) are involved in the processing and modification of rRNA in the nucleolus. There are two main classes of snoRNAs: the box C/D class, and the box H/ACA class.
Source: Ensembl
AAGACUAUACUUUCAGGGAUCAUUUCUACAGUUUGUUACUAAGAUGUAUUUUAAAUGAAGCUUGCAUAAUU